GUGUCAGCAGCCGCGGUAAUACCGGCAGCCCGAGUGAUGGCCGAUUUUAUUGGGCCUAAAGCGUCCGUAGCUGGCCGCGCAAGUCUAUCAGAAAAUCCACCCGCUCAACGGGUGGGCGUCCGGUAGAAACUGCGUGGCUUGGGACCGGAAGGCGCGACGGGUACGUCCGGGGUAGGAGUGAAAUCCCGUAAUCCUGGACGGACCGCCGAUGGCGAAAGCACGUCGCGAGGACGGAUCCGACAGUGAGGGACGAAAGCCAGGGUCUCGAACCGGAUUAGAAACCCCUGUAGUCC
Molecule: ribosomal RNA, 293 nt
Filed under: uncultured prokaryote
Description: partial 16S ribosomal RNA
Rfam family: Archaeal small subunit ribosomal RNA
Source: RNAcentral